Molecule: non-coding RNA, 1375 nt
Organism: Jatropha curcas
Lineage: Eukaryota; Viridiplantae; Streptophyta; Magnoliopsida; Malpighiales; Euphorbiaceae
Source: RefSeq, a predicted model, not a curated record
AAAUGAUAAGGAGAGAUUGGGUCACCUUGCUUAACCCCUCUGGAAGUUGUGAAACACUCUGAGAUCGUAUCAUUCCAAAGAAUCUUCAUAAAGUAUGAGCUAAGACAUUUUAAGAUUAAAUUACUCCAAAAAGCAGGGAAGUUAGCUCGAUGCAGUGUAUCAAUAAUGAAGUCCCACCAAAUGCGUUGAUAAGCUUUCUCCAAGUCUAUCUUAAGAAUCAUCCAUCCCAUAUUAGAUAGUAGUAUUAAAAUGUUAAUGUUCAUAUUUUGAAAUAAUUGAUGUAUUAUAUGAUGAUAUUACCUUCAUGAGAAUAUUUUGAGAUACACUGCGAAUUUUGAGAUUCUAAGAGGGGAGUUAAGUCCAACUUUUAGAGGAAACUUUGCCAAAAUUUUGUUUAAUAAUAUACAAAACUAUUUUUUAUUCAUUUUUAUUAAAACUUUGUUCUGUUGUUAUGUUGUACAUAUAGAAACACUUCCAAAGGGAUGAUGCGAUGAAUGAGCUUAUAAAGAUUGCAUGGAAGAGAAAGGCAGGUGAGAGGUAUAGGGAUAUGCUUCAUAAGCUUAAAUGUCAUGGAAAAAGGCCUUAUGUCCAAGAUGAUGUUUGGAAGAAGUGAAAUGAGAAUCAGAAAGCAUCAGAUUAUGUUGCAAAGCCUAUACAAUUCUCAAAGAAUCGGCGUAUUGAGAAGGGUGGCAAGGGAUUUGGUCCAUCUCGUCAUACCGGAGGCUCUAUCUCCCAUGUCGAACAUGCGAGACAUAUGGCUGUAGAGACUAAAUCAAUUCCUCUAACAUGUGAUGUGUUUCUUCGUACCAUACAAAGAAAGAUGAUAGGAAGACCUUUAUUGGCAAGCGCGCUGAGAAUAUAUUUGGGACAAUCCAACACUUCAAAGAACAAUGAUCCACACAGCAACCUGAAGGUGAAGAAACUCCUAUUGAUGAGUACCAGUUGUAUUUGGAGGCUGCAGGAGGAAAACAUAAACGUAGAGUCUACGGCAUUGGCUCCCAGGCUUCCCUCUUCUAUCCACAUUCUGGUAUGAGUGGCAGCUCAUUUAGUGCCUCAUCCACUUCGUCGGAUGCCAUGGAGUUGAUUCAUUCACUGAAGGAACAACAAGAUGCAUUUGAUAGAUUGCUUUAGGAAAAAACAAAUAUGAUUGCCCAAAUUCAUAGGCAUUUGCAAAUCAGGGCAAGCUAGCCACCAGCAUCCUCAGAUGCUCCUACUUCUAGCUUCGGUGUUGAUCCUACGACAGAUGGAGACGAAAAUGAUGUUCAAGGCUUGGAUGGUUAGAGGGAUAUCUCUUGGUGAACUUUUCUUUUCUUGAAUAUCUAUGAUUAAAAUGUUUACAUGUUUGAACUUAGUUACAAAUAUGUCUAGUGUUAAA